AUUGAACGCUGGCGGCAUGCUUUACACAUGCAAGUCGAACGGCAGCGCGGGCUUCGGCCUGGCGGCGAGUGGCGAACGGGUGAGUAAUACAUCGGAACGUGCCCAGUAGUGGGGGAUAGCUCGGCGAAAGCCGGAUUAAUAACGCAUACGACCUGAGGGUGAAAGCGGGGGAUCUUCGGACCUCGCGCUAUUGGAGCGGCCGAUGGCAGAUUAGCUAGUUGGUGGGGUAAAGGCCUACCAAGGCGACGAUCUGUAGCUGGUCUGAGAGGACGACCAGCCACACUGGGACUGAGACACGGCCCAGACUACUACGGGAGGCAGCAGUGGGGAAUUUUGGACAAUGGGCGAAAGCCUGAUCCAGCAAUGCCGCGUGUGUGAUGAAGGCCUUCGGGUUGUAAAGCACUUUUGGCGGGAACGAAAAGGACUGUGCCAAUACCACGGUUCGAUGACGGUACCCGCAGAAUAAGCACCGGCUAACUACGUG
RNAcentral lists this ribosomal RNA (484 nucleotides) under uncultured bacterium. RNAcentral's name for it is "partial 16S ribosomal RNA". It matches the Rfam family "Bacterial small subunit ribosomal RNA", at positions 29 to 507 of the family's 1533-position model. The record is from RNAcentral.